AGAUAUUGAAACUGUAAGUCACUCUGGAUAAGAGCGUCUGCUAAAUGACUUAGA
Molecule: non-coding RNA, 54 nt
Organism: Salmo salar (Atlantic salmon)
Lineage: Eukaryota; Metazoa; Chordata; Actinopteri; Salmoniformes; Salmonidae
Source: Rfam